Molecule: transfer RNA, 65 nt
Filed under: Suhpalacsa sp. XXL-2020
Lineage: Eukaryota; Metazoa; Arthropoda; Insecta; Neuroptera; Myrmeleontidae
Description: tRNA-Thr
Rfam family: tRNA
About the family: Transfer RNA (tRNA) molecules are approximately 80 nucleotides in length.
Source: RNAcentral
GUUUUAAUAGUUUAAAAAAAAACAUUGGUCUUGUAUACCAAAAAUAAGAAAAAUCUUUUAAAACU